UCCGAGUUGUCCCCGGCAGUCCCUCUAGAGUCCCCGGCAUUACCCGCUGGCAACUAAAGGCAGGGGUUGCGCUCGUUGCGGCACUUAAGCCAACACCUCACGGCACGAGCUGACGACAGCCAUGCAGCACCUGUGCUAGCCCCUUACGGACCCCGCAUCUCUGCGAGAUUUCCGUGCAUGUCAAGCCUAGGUAAGGUUCUUCGCGUUGCAUCGAAUUAAGCAACAUGCUCCGCCGCUUGUGCGGGCCCCCGUCAAUUCCUUUGAGUUUCACACUUGCGUGCGUACUCCCCAGGCGGGAUGCUAACAGCGUUAGCGACGGCACCCGGAGACUGUAACUCCAGACACCAAGCAUCCAUCGUUUAAGGCUAGGACUAC
RNAcentral lists this unclassified non-coding RNA (375 nucleotides) under uncultured bacterium. Its description in RNAcentral is "contains 16S-23S intergenic spacer region". The record is from RNAcentral.